AAUUGCCAAACAUUUCCAGCUAGUCUUCACGUCCUACAAAGCCAUAAAACUUAUGACAAACCAACAUCAGGUAUUUACCAACACUUAAGGGGAACUACAUUCGGUACUAGAGAUGGUUGACCCGUAAAGAUCCUGACGGACUUGUCCUUCCCUCUUCCCAAGCAUGCCUACACCUACGCAGCCCCUUGCCUUUUUAACACACUGCUGUUUAUUUGUCUGAAUGUAAUUCUGAAUACUGUGCCAAAGCAGUAGAGUACUGGCAGAUCAAAUGUGUGUACAUUUGUCAGCCAUGGGAAACUUCAUGGUGCAUAGUAGUAUAAAAGUGUAGGUAUUGAGAAAGGGCCUCUCUUUUCUGUUAUGUCAAUUUUAUCGCUGUCUUUGUGAACACGAAAAACCCAAAGCUGAAUAAAAGGUUCUUGUCUGUCCUCCCGGGGUUGUCGAAUGGCAUUUUUGGAAAAUGUACAAGCAGCACCAGAUAAGGCAGAUUGGUGGCAAGUAGACCAAAAGGGAAAAUUACAGCAUUAAAGUCUCCUGUACUGCACUGAAUGUUCCAGAUUGAUUAUGCUAUGUGUAACAGUUUUGAGUGGGAAUUUCUCCUUUAUCUCCUUUCUGCAUCUAAAACAAAAGCUGAUCUCUGUUUUAGCUAACGGCUCUGUAUUCUCGCUGGUGGAUUGUGUAGCCUCUGGAGUGCUAGAAGCCUCUAAACACAAUACCAGUUAAUUGGCUGUGUGCGCUAAUACUGUUACAAAGGCUAUUUUUACCUCACCAUGGUUUUGUUUGCGACAGUGUGGGUGAGAGUGUGGUUGUGUUUCCAAGUAUACAUGAAAGUAUGCUGACAAUCAACAGCUCAUGCACUUUCUCUUCAUCUUCCAUUCCCUCCAUCCUUUUUUCCCUCUGUGUGUGUGAUUGUGUUUGCGUGUGCGCA
Micropterus salmoides (largemouth bass) is the source of this 925-nucleotide long non-coding RNA. RefSeq lists it as uncharacterized. The record is from RefSeq and is a predicted model, not a curated record. NCBI's taxonomy places the organism in Eukaryota, Metazoa, Chordata, Actinopteri, Centrarchiformes, Centrarchidae. The transcript is spliced from 3 exons.